This 435-nucleotide ribosomal RNA is filed under the name uncultured bacterium. RNAcentral's name for it is "bacterial SSU rRNA". It matches the Rfam family "Bacterial small subunit ribosomal RNA", at positions 43 to 524 of the family's 1533-position model. The record is from RNAcentral.
CAGGCCUAACACAUGCAAGUCGAACGAUGCUUUCGGGCAUAGUGGCGCACGGGUGCGUAACGCGUGGGAAUCUGCCCUUGGGUUCGGAAUAACCGUUAGAAAUGACGGCUAAUACCGGAUGAUGACGUAAGUCCAAAGAUUUAUCGCCCGAGGAUGAGCCCGCGUAGGAUUAGCUAGUUGGUGGGGUAAAGGCCUACCAAGGCGACGAUCCUUAGCUGGUCUGAGAGGAUGAUCAGCCACACUGGGACUGAGACACGGCCCAGACUCCUACGGGAGGCAGCAGUGGGGAAUAUUGGACAAUGGGCGCAAGCCUGAUCCAGCAAUGCCGCGUGAGUGAUGAAGGCCUUAGGGUUGUAAAGCUCUUUUACCCGGGAUGAUAAUGACAGUACCGGGAGAAUAAGCUCCGGCUAACUCCGUGCCAGCAGCCGCGGUAAU